UCUCUUGUCUAUAAAAGAUGACGUGGCUAAUGAGUGCUUUCCGCAUACUACAUACUUUGUCACACUUUUAGAAAGCGAGAUGUCACACAGUAAACCGUUACAAAAUCGUUAAGGCUCUUUUCUUUUCAUGCAUGCAGUGACGCAGACGGCAUUUCACACCGAGUGGGAAUUCCCUCCUUUACAAGUUGUAGAUUAUAAACUGUUUGACGAAUGUUUCAUUCUCGCUUAUACUAUCGCAAAGCGAUAGCCAGGGCCGAACUUCAUAUUAUUUGGGAUCUAGCGCUGAAGGAGUGAGUUAAGUUUGAUUUAGUGCUGUUUAGUAUACUAUUCUUAUAUUCUAUUCCUAGUCCUUCGAGUGUUUCUAUUAAAUAAGAUAUCUGUUCAUAUGUAAGGUGCAUGCAAUUUCGUACACUUUGUAUGCUACAUACAAACCUAAUAAAGAUAUAUAACGAAAAAUGCCCUCUGAACACAUAAUGCUAAACAAGGCAAUAACAUGCCCACAAUAAAUCCGGUUCUGAUGAUAACGUAGUUUUGUGUCUGUCUGGUAGUAAGGCGAAGAGCUGCUCUCAGAAUGAUAACCUUCAGUUGUGGUUUCUUUUCCGCUGAUGUUAGUCGCUUCACGUUCAUAUUCCGUUGCAACAAGUCAAGAAAGAUGGAAUCGCUGAGGUUUAUAUUUUUGUUAACAACUAUGGCGUUGCUUGCAUGGAUCGGAACGGCUAGCGCGGCACAAGGUGAUACGUUCGAAAGCAUUUCAAACAUGAACAGCAGAAUUAGGAUGCUUCCCGUUCGUCACAUCCAGGCGUAUGAUGCAAUGAAUAAUGAAUGGCGUUAUGUGAUGUUCAGGAUCUCCCAUCCGCAUGCAGUAGAUACGCCAACGAAUGGCCCAUAUGACAGCACCGCCAGAGAUGAAAGAAUGACCGCGAAAUGGAUUAAAGCGUUUGAUCCUACAACUGGUUCUUGGACUGAACAGGCGUUUUACAUCUAAUCUUUUAUAUAAUUAGACAAAUUAAGGAAAAAAUAAUCAAAUGACAAAUGUGCAAGACUCAACGACCAA
Molecule: long non-coding RNA, 1054 nt
Organism: Aedes albopictus (Asian tiger mosquito)
Lineage: Eukaryota; Metazoa; Arthropoda; Insecta; Diptera; Culicidae
Exons: 2
Source: RefSeq, a predicted model, not a curated record